UAGAACGCACAGUUUAUACCGUAGCUUGCUACACCAUAGACUGUGAGUUGCGAACGGGUGAGUAACGCGUAGGUAACCUGCCUGGUAGCGGGGGAUAACUAUUGGAAACGAUAGCUAAUACCGCAUAAUAUUAAUUAUUGCAUGAUAAUUGAUUGAAAGGUGCAAUUGCACCACUACCAGAUGGACCUGCGUUGUAUUAGCUAGUAGGUGAGGUAACGGCUCACCUAGGCGACGAUACAUAGCCGACCUGAGAGGGUGAUCGGCCACACUGGGACUGAGACACGGCCCAGACUCCUACGGGAGGCAGCAGUAGGGAAUCUUCGGCAAUGGACGAAAGUCUGACCGAGCAACGCCGCGUGAGUGAAGAAGGUUUUCGGAUCGUAAAGCUCUGUUGUAAGAGAAGAACGGGUGUGAGAGUGGAAAGUUCACACUGUGACGGUAUCUUACCAGAAAGGGACGGCUAACUACGUGC
Molecule: ribosomal RNA, 472 nt
Filed under: Streptococcus gordonii
Lineage: Bacteria; Bacillati; Bacillota; Bacilli; Lactobacillales; Streptococcaceae
Description: bacterial SSU rRNA
Rfam family: Bacterial small subunit ribosomal RNA
Source: RNAcentral